AUGGCCAGUGAUGAGGACUUCUUCCACUAAUGUUUGAGUUUCCCAACCAUGACAUGACUUCACAUGCACUACUAUCUGAGACAGC
Molecule: small nucleolar RNA, 85 nt
Organism: Erinaceus europaeus (western European hedgehog)
Lineage: Eukaryota; Metazoa; Chordata; Mammalia; Eulipotyphla; Erinaceidae
Source: Ensembl